UUCCCCGUGGAAAAGGGAGGAUGACUGAGGGGCAGGGCAAAGAGGCAGAGAGAGAAGCCCACCCCAGAAGAAGGAGGGGGAGGGCAGAGGAGCCCUUAAAGGAGCAUUGUGACCAUGUCUGCUGCAUUUCAACCCUGCCGCGCGUGCCCGUGGCUACAGGGAGCACGGCCCCCUUUUCCUUUUUGAACCGGGUGUCUAUUUACUUUUCCUGUGCUUCCCCAUGGAAUGUGGGUCUUGCAGGGACAGAUAACUUGCUUCUGGCUUUGCUGCAUGUCACAAGCCAAGAGCAGUAGUGAGAUGUGGUUCUGGGAUCUUCAUGCAGGAGGAACUGAAUCAUUAGGGGCCAGAGUGUGGACGGGUGGCGGGCAGGUUGUUCCACUGGUUCCCACCACCCCCUCCCCGCCCCAAGCUGUGCUUUCCAGAACUCGUGCUGCUGUGCGCACCCUUCCCACACGGAUUCCAGGCUCGCCUGCAGGACUUGCUGUGGCCAGCAGGAUACCAGCAGGAGAGAUUCAAGCAGAGGUCCAACAGGACCUGUCACGUAGAGUAGAGCCUCCACGUGCCAGAACACCCUGAAGAGUAGUCGGUCCCGAGGCCUUCCCUUCCGCGUCGCCUCAGCCCCCUCAGUCGGGCUUGCUCCUCCACCUCGUACACCUGAAGGUGACCGGUGCCUUCGUUGUGCCUUCUGUGCCCACCAUUCGGGAUCUCUCAGCAGCACUGGACAAGGCCGAUCUCUCCUUCUCAGCCUAGCACCGUCAUCGCUUGGCCCACUGCCCUCUCCUGGCGUCCCUCCUACCUGACAUCCUCAUCCUCUGUACCAGCUCCUCCUUCCAGCCUCCCUUCCUCCUUAGCGUGAGGAUACCCAGGGCUCAAUCUUUUCCCUCUCUUUUUCUCUAUUUGCAUUUCCUCCCAUGGUGAACUCAUCCAGUUGUAUGGCUUUAAGUACAACAAAUACCCUCGUGAACAUCAAUCUAUACUCAUGUAUUCAAUUGCCUUAUAACCUUAACCUGUGGCAUGAGGAAGAAAUAUAUUUUUAUCUUGCUAAGCCGCUGAGAAUUUAGGGUUGUUUGUUACUGCAGCAUAACCAGGGCUAUCCUGACUGCUACAAAACACUGCCAUCAAAGGUGUGCCCAACACCAUCAUUUCUUAGUUGGGUAAGCUUGCAUUAGCUUCCUAAACAUCCUGCCUGCUUUCACCCUUCCCUCACUGUCUACAUCAGCUGCCAUGAUGCACUAAAAAGCUAUUCCUUCUUUCCUAUCCUCCAAUGGCUCACUUUUCUGAGUGUAAAAGUCACAGUCCUCACCAGACUCCACACCCAUCCCAACCUCCACCU
Bubalus bubalis (water buffalo) is the source of this 1333-nucleotide long non-coding RNA. RefSeq lists it as uncharacterized. The record is from RefSeq and is a predicted model, not a curated record. The transcript has 2 exons. Lineage: Eukaryota; Metazoa; Chordata; Mammalia; Artiodactyla; Bovidae.